UAAACUGGGAUUAGAUACCCCACUAUGCUUAGCCCUAAACCCUAAUAAUUCAAUAACAAAAUUAUUUGCCUGAGAACUACUGGCCACAGCUUAAAACUCAAAGGACUUGGCGGUACUUUAUAUCCAUCUAGAGGAGCCUGUUCUAUAAUCGAUAAACCCCGUUACACCUUACCACUCCUUGCUAAUUCAGCCUAUAUACCGCCAUCUUCAGCAAACCUUAAAAAAGAACAACAGUAAGCAAGAGGAUCACCAUAAAAACGUUAGGUCAAGGUGUAGCCUAUGGAGUGGAAAGCAAUGGGCUACAUUUUCUAAAUAAGAACAUUACGAAACCCUUUAUGAAAUCUAAAGGACAAAGGAGGAUUUAGUAGUAAAUUAAGAAUAGAGUGCUUAAUUGAAUAGCGCAAUGAAGUACGUACACACCGCCCGUCACCCUCCUCAAAUUAAACGAACACAACACAGAUACAUAAUACAAUUAAUAAGUUUAUGAGAGGAGAUAAGUCGUAACAAGGUAAGCAUACUGGAAAGUGA
RNAcentral lists this ribosomal RNA (528 nucleotides) under Neotoma mexicana (Mexican woodrat). RNAcentral describes it as "partial 12S ribosomal RNA". It matches the Rfam family "Bacterial small subunit ribosomal RNA", at positions 768 to 1515 of the family's 1533-position model. Lineage: Eukaryota; Metazoa; Chordata; Mammalia; Rodentia; Cricetidae. The record is from RNAcentral.